GACGAACGUUGGCGGCGUGCUUAAUACAUGCAAGUCAACUGAAGCAGUGGUAGCAAUAUCGCUGUGGAGGUGGCGCACGGGUGAGUAACACGUAGGUAAUCUGCCUUCAGGCCUGGCAUAACUCCGGGAAACCGGGGCUAAUAGCAGAUGAUGCAGCGGCUCGACAUCGAGACAGUUGUUAAAGCUAUGGCGCCUGAAGAUGAGCCUGCGUCUGAUUAGCUAGUUGGCGGGGUAACGGCCCACCAAGGCAACGAUCAGUAGCUGGUCUGAGAGGAUGAUCAGCCACACUGGAACUGAGACACGGUCCAGACUCCUACGGGAGGCAGCAGUAAGGAAUAUUGCUCAAUGGGAGAAAUCCUGAAGCAGCAACGCCGCGUGAGGGACGAAGGGCUUUUGCUUGUAAACCUCUGUAGUGAGAGAAAAAAAUCCCAAUCUUUGGGACAUGAUGGUAUCUCAAAAGUAAGCCCCGGCUAACUACGUG
This 481-nucleotide ribosomal RNA is filed under the name uncultured bacterium. RNAcentral describes it as "partial 16S ribosomal RNA". It matches the Rfam family "Bacterial small subunit ribosomal RNA", at positions 28 to 507 of the family's 1533-position model. The record is from RNAcentral.